RNAcentral lists this non-coding RNA (71 nucleotides) under uncultured Lachnoclostridium sp. RNAcentral describes it as "Cyclic di-GMP-II riboswitch". It matches the Rfam family "Cyclic di-GMP-II riboswitch aptamer", at positions 9 to 76 of the family's 84-position model. The record is from RNAcentral. Lineage: Bacteria; Bacillati; Bacillota; Clostridia; Lachnospirales; Lachnospiraceae.
AUGAUGCGUUGAACUAUAGUCAAUAUCUGGGCACUUUGGGCUAUAGGGAGCAAGUGGUGCAACCGGCAUUU